This 226-nucleotide long non-coding RNA is filed under the name Ricinus communis (castor bean). Its description in RNAcentral is "long non-coding RNA (RCOM_LNC000741)". Lineage: Eukaryota; Viridiplantae; Streptophyta; Magnoliopsida; Malpighiales; Euphorbiaceae. The record is from RNAcentral.
AAGAAGAACACCUUAGAAUUUAGUGAGUGAAAACGUUUAAAAGGUUGAAAAUGGCACAUAUAUACAUAGUCACGGGGGUAAGCAUGGGAGCGAGCACGCAUGGCCUUGACUGGGCCCAUACUGAACCUUAAAGAGAGUUUUAUGUGCGUUUUCAUCAUGGGUUGGACUCCGGCCAUGCUGAUAAGCAUGGCCUGGUGUUGCAACCUGUGAUGCCCUCAAAAACCAU